GACGUAGGGGGCAAGCGUUAUUCGGAAUUAUUGGGCGUAAAGCGCUCGUAGGCGGGACUGGAAGUCCGUGUUGAAAGACCUCGGCUCAACUGAGGGACCGGCUCGGAUACUCUAGUUCUUGAGGCAAUCAGAGGGUGAUGGAAUUCCCGGUGUAGCGGUGAAAUGCGUAGAUAUCAGGAGGAACACCGGUGGCGAAGGCGGGUCUCUGGGCCGAAUGACUCUGAGGAGCGAAAGCGUGGGGGAGCGAACAGG
This 252-nucleotide ribosomal RNA is filed under the name uncultured bacterium. Its description in RNAcentral is "partial 16S ribosomal RNA". It matches the Rfam family "Bacterial small subunit ribosomal RNA", at positions 524 to 776 of the family's 1533-position model. The record is from RNAcentral.